Molecule: ribosomal RNA, 515 nt
Filed under: Bacillus velezensis
Lineage: Bacteria; Bacillati; Bacillota; Bacilli; Caryophanales; Bacillaceae
Description: bacterial SSU rRNA
Rfam family: Bacterial small subunit ribosomal RNA
Source: RNAcentral
CGUUCCGGGAUUUUUGGGCGUAAGGGCUCGCAGGCGGUUUCUUAAGUCUGAUGUGAAAGCCCCCGGCUCAUCCGGGGAGGGUCAUUGGAAACUGGGGAACUUGAGUGCAGAAGAGGAGAGUGGAAUUCCACGUGUAGCGGUGAAAUGCGUAGAGAUGUGGAGGAACACCAGUGGCGAAGGCGACUCUCUGGUCUGUAACUGACGCUGAGGAGCGAAAGCGUGGGGAGCGAACAGGAUUAGAUACCCUGGUAGUCCACGCCGUAAACGAUGAGUGCUAAGUGUUAGGGGGUUUCCGCCCCUUAGUGCUGCAGCUAACGCAUUAAGCACUCCGCCUGGGGAGUACGGUCGCAAGACUGAAACUCAAAGGAAUUGACGGGGGCCCGCACAAGCGGUGGAGCAUGUGGUUUAAUUCGAAGCAACGCGAAGAACCUUACCAGGUCUUGACAUCCUCUGACAAUCCUAGAGAUAGGACGUCCCCUUCGGGGGCAGAGUGAGAUGUGGUGCAUGUGUUUUCG